RNAcentral lists this ribosomal RNA (406 nucleotides) under uncultured bacterium. RNAcentral describes it as "partial 16S ribosomal RNA". It matches the Rfam family "Bacterial small subunit ribosomal RNA", at positions 30 to 526 of the family's 1533-position model. The record is from RNAcentral.
AUCGAACGCUGGCGGCAGGCCUAACACAUGCAAGUCGAACGAGUGGCAGACGUGUGAGUAAUGUCUGGGACCCUGCCUGAUGGAGGGGGAUACCUACUGGAAACGGUAGCUAAUACCGCAUACCAUCAGCUGUGCCCAGAUGGGAUUAGCUAGUUGGUGGGGUAACGGCUAACCAAGGCGACGAUCCCUAGCUGGUCUGAGAGGAGGACCAGCCACACUGGAACUGAGACACGGUCCAGACUCCUACGGGAGGCAGCAGUGGGGAAUAUUGCACAAUGGGCGCAAGCCGGACGCAGCCAUGCCGCGUGUAUGAAGAAGGCCUUCGGGUUGUAAAGUACUUUCAGCGGGGAGGCGGUACCCGAAGAGGAAGCACCGGCUAACUCCGUGCCAGCAGCCGCGGUAAUAC